Molecule: long non-coding RNA, 948 nt
Organism: Hippopotamus amphibius kiboko
Lineage: Eukaryota; Metazoa; Chordata; Mammalia; Artiodactyla; Hippopotamidae
Exons: 5
Source: RefSeq, a predicted model, not a curated record
UUGGAUAAUCCUUUAUAGUUCUCAAGGCACUUGAAAUCCGUUUGAUCUCCUUAGGUCCUCUUAACAAGCUAAACCAUGUUUCCAUACUGCACGUGAAGAAACUGAAGUUUGGAGAGGUUAAGGGACAUCCCAGCUGUUGAGUAGCAAAACGGAAUCCAGUCCAAUAUACUUUUCAUCCUGCCUUCAUAUUGUAACAUACAUAUACCACCAAGUUUAUAAAUAGAGAUUUAGAUGUCAACAGGAUAGAGUGGAAGGCAUGGAAUAUCAAUAAGAUUACCCAGCAAUAAUCUACACAAGUGUAGCCUGAGACGAGGAACAGGCCAAGGAGUAGACAGAAGAAGAGAAGCCUGGAAAGAAGACAGAAGGAGUUGUCAGAGGGGUAGGAGGAGAACAAUUUCUGCAAUGUGGAAGAAACAAAGGGUGUCAGUGCUGCAGAGAUGUCACAGAUGAUGACAAAAGAAUCCACCGAACCUGGCCACAAAGAGGGGAAGAUCAAGGAGCAAUGAGAAUGAGAAAUUUAUUCAUCUGAUUUGGUCCAUUAACGGAAGUCAAUAACUUUCAAUCAAGAAACUUACUAGAAAAAAAAAAUUUGUGGAGAUUUAUGUAACCUUGGAAGAGGCAGGAUCUUUCUUGGCAUUAUCACUAAAAUAGAAGCCUAGAGGAGAAGACUGAUGGAUCUCUAAUUUUAUUCAGGUACCCACGUUCUUCUAAGAAGUCUUGUGAUUUGGGAGGCUAGCCCCAGUCCCCAUCCUAGAGGAUGUGAAACCGAAAACUGCCGCAGUCAUCUUGGACCAUGAAGAGAAGUAGUCUUAGAACGAGGUUGUUACUGAAGAUGGCAAAGUGGAGAGUUGGAAGGCAUUUAGGUCCUUGAUGGCACCAUUAAGCUACCGAUUAUACUACGCCCAGAAACUCCUUAUGUCUUCAUUUUUUGUUGUGAGAUAAUAAAUU